UCGAUAUUUGAUUUCAGAAAUUUCUGCUUGGUGAUGAAGACUAUUCAAAUGAGUUCUUUGAUGUGUACACUGUGAGUUCUGAAGAAUUCAAGAGAAUUGCACAGGGGAAGUCAACUGUUCUGGAUCACAAUGAAACUGAAUUGCCAGCGCUGAUGGAGCACAUUAAGAAACUGUACGUCUCCCAUUUCAAGAAGGAAGUGAAAGAUUAUGUAUCUGAGGUUUCUGGAAUCAUUUCAUAUCUUCACUUUUCAAAGGAUGCUCUCAGUUCAAAGAAACAGUCUUCAAAUGACGACGAGUUCAACCGACUUGAAAAGGAUCUGGGUAAAACAUGCGAAACAUUGAAUGAAAAUCUGAGCCAAGUUC
Molecule: long non-coding RNA, 363 nt
Organism: Conger conger (European conger)
Lineage: Eukaryota; Metazoa; Chordata; Actinopteri; Anguilliformes; Congridae
Exons: 3
Source: RefSeq, a predicted model, not a curated record